CGAAGGGAAACCGAGUCUUAACCGGGCGUUAAGUUGCAGGGUAUAGACCCGAAACCCGGUGAUCUAGCCAUGGGCAGGUUGAAGGUUGGGUAACACUAACUGGAGGACCGAACCGACUAAUGUUGAAAAAUUAGCGGAUGACUUGUGGCUGGGGGUGAAAGGCCAAUCAAACCGGGAGAUAGCUGGUUCUCCCCGAAAGCUAUUUAGGUAGCGCCUCGUGAACUCAUCUUCGGGGGUAGAGCACUGUUUCGGCUAGGGGGUCAUCCCGACUUACCAACCCGAUGCAAACUGCGAAUACCGAAGAAUGUUAUCACGGGAGACACACGGCGGGUGCUAACGUCCGUCGUGAAGAGGGAAACAACCCAGACCGCCAGCUAAGGUCCCAAAGUCACAGUUAAGUGGGAAACGAUGUGGGAAGGCUCAGACAGCCAGGAUGUUGGCUUAGAAGCAGCCAUCAUUUAAAGAAAGCGUAAUAGCUCACUGGUCGAGUCGGCCUGCGCGGAAGAUGUAACGGGGCUAAACUGUGCACCGAAGCUGCGGCAGCGACGCUUAUGCGUUGUUGGGUAGGGGAGCGUUCUGUAAGCCUGCGAAGGUGUCCUGUGAGGGAUGCUGGAGGUAUCAGAAGUGCGAAUGCUGACAUAAGUAACGAUAAUGCGGGUGAAAAGCCCGCUCGCCGGAAGACCAAGGGUUCCUGUCCAACGUUAAUCGGGGCAGGGUGAGUCGACCCCUAAGGCGAGGCCGAAAGGCGUAGUCGAUGGGAAACGGGUUAAUAUUCCCGUACUUGGUGUUACUGCGAAGGGGGGACGGAGAAGGCUAUGUUGGCCGGGCGACGGUUGUCCCGGUUUAAGCGUGUAGGCUGGUUUUCCAGGCAAAUCCGG
Molecule: ribosomal RNA, 878 nt
Filed under: Salmonella enterica subsp. enterica serovar Kentucky
Lineage: Bacteria; Pseudomonadati; Pseudomonadota; Gammaproteobacteria; Enterobacterales; Enterobacteriaceae
Description: partial 23S ribosomal RNA
Rfam family: Bacterial large subunit ribosomal RNA
Source: RNAcentral